RNAcentral lists this non-coding RNA (30 nucleotides) under Homo sapiens (human). Lineage: Eukaryota; Metazoa; Chordata; Mammalia; Primates; Hominidae. The record is from RNAcentral.
UGGCUAGCUGAUAGAAUCGUGGACAUUUGC